AGAACGAACGCUGGCGGCAGGCCUCAAACAUGCAAGUCUAGGGGGUGUAGCAAUACAUCACCGGCGGACGGGUGCGUAACGCGUGGGAAUGUACCUAUUGGUUCGGAACAACUGAGGGAAACUUCAGCUAAUACCGGAUGAGCCCGAAAGGGGAAAGAUUUCUCGCCAAUAGAUCAGCCCGCGUCCGAUUAGCUAGUUGGUGGGGUUAAAGCCUACCAAGGCGACGAUCGGUAGCUGUUCUGAGAGGAAGAUCAGCCACACUGGGACUGAGACACGGCCCAGACUCCUACGGGAGGCAGCAGUUGGGAAUCUUGGACAAUGGGGGAAACCCUGAUCCAGCCAUGCCGCGUGAGUGAUGAAGGCCUUCGGGUUGUAAAACUCUUUCGACGGGGACAGUAAUGACGGUACCCGUAGAAGAGCUCCGGCUAACUUCGUGCCAGCAGCCG
RNAcentral lists this ribosomal RNA (446 nucleotides) under uncultured bacterium. Its description in RNAcentral is "SSU rRNA". It matches the Rfam family "Bacterial small subunit ribosomal RNA", at positions 26 to 517 of the family's 1533-position model. The record is from RNAcentral.